This 1265-nucleotide ribosomal RNA is filed under the name Salmonella enterica subsp. enterica. Its description in RNAcentral is "partial 23S ribosomal RNA". It matches the Rfam family "Bacterial large subunit ribosomal RNA", at positions 362 to 1547 of the family's 2925-position model. Lineage: Bacteria; Pseudomonadati; Pseudomonadota; Gammaproteobacteria; Enterobacterales; Enterobacteriaceae. The record is from RNAcentral.
GGGUGACAGCCCCGUACACAAAAGCGCAUGUGCUGUGAGCUCGAUGAGUAGGGCGGGACACGUGGUAUCCUGUCUGAAUAUGGGGGGACCAUCCUCCAAGGCUAAAUACUCCUGACUGACCGAUAGUGAACCAGUACCGUGAGGGAAAGGCGAAAAGAACCCCGGCGAGGGGAGUGAAAAAGAACCUGAAACCGUGUACGUACAAGCAGUGGGAGCACAGGUUUACCUGUGUGACUGCGUACCUUUUGUAUAAUGGGUCAGCGACUUAUAUUCUGUAGCAAGGUUAACCGAAUAGGGGAGCCGGAGGGAAACCGAGUCUUAAUUGGGCGUUAAGUUGCAGGGUAUAGACCCGAAACCCGGUGAUCUAGCCAUGGGCAGGUUGAAGGUUGGGUAACACUAACUGGAGGACCGAACCGACUAAUGUUGAAAAAUUAGCGGAUGACCUGUGGCUGGGGGUGAAAGGCCAAUCAAACCGGGAGAUAGCUGGUUCUCCCCGAAAGCUAUUUAGGUAGCGCCUCGUGAAUUCAUCUCCGGGGGUAGAGCACUGUUUCGGCUAGGGGGCCAUCCCGGCUUACCAACCCGAUGCAAACUGCGAAUACCGGAGAAUGUUAUCACGGGAGACACACGGCGGGUGCUAACGUCCGUCGUGAAGAGGGAAACAACCCAGACCGCCAGCUAAGGUCCCAAAGUCAUGGUUAAGUGGGAAACGAUGUGGGAAGGCCCAGACAGCCAGGAUGUUGGCUUAGAAGCAGCCAUCAUUUAAAGAAAGCGUAAUAGCUCACUGGUCGAGUCGGCCUGCGCGGAAGAUGUAACGGGGCUAAACCAUGCACCGAAGCUGCGGCAGCGAACGUAUCACCCAAGACAACUUUACGGAGUUGACGAUUGACGGAGCGAAGCGACGUCAAAGCGUUCAUUAAAGUCGAGUUGGCUUAGGGAUACGUUCGUUGGGUAGGGGAGCGUUCUGUAAGCCUGUGAAGGUGUGUCGUGAGGCAUGCUGGAGGUAUCAGAAGUGCGAAUGCUGACAUAAGUAACGAUAAAGCGGGUGAAAAGCCCGCUCGCCGGAAGACCAAGGGUUCCUGUCCAACGUUAAUCGGGGCAGGGUGAGUCGACCCCUAAGGCGAGGCCGAAAGGCGUAGUCGAUGGGAAACGGGUUAAUAUUCCCGUACUUGGUGUUACUGCGAAGGGGGGACGGAGAAGGCUAUGUUGGCCGGGCGACGGUUGUCCCGGUUUAAGCGUGUAGGUGUGUGUUCCAGGUAAAUCCGGUU